Molecule: ribosomal RNA, 254 nt
Filed under: uncultured bacterium
Lineage: Bacteria
Description: partial 16S ribosomal RNA
Rfam family: Bacterial small subunit ribosomal RNA
Source: RNAcentral
UACGGAGGGGGCAAGCGUUGUUCGGAAUUACUGGGCGUAAAGGGCGCGCAGGCGGCUGCUCAAGUCAGGCGUGAAAGGCCUGGGCUCAACCCGGGAAUUGCGCUUGAGACUGGGCUGGCUUGAGUGCGGGAGAGGAUGGUGGAAUUCCCAGUGUAGAGGUGAAAUGCGUAGAUAUUGGGAGGAACACCAGUGGCGAAGGCGGCCACCUGGACCGGUUCUGACGCUGAUGCGCGAAAGCGUGGGGAGCAAACAGG